Xenopus tropicalis (tropical clawed frog) is the source of this 366-nucleotide long non-coding RNA. RefSeq lists it as uncharacterized. The transcript has 2 exons. NCBI's taxonomy places the organism in Eukaryota, Metazoa, Chordata, Amphibia, Anura, Pipidae. The record is from RefSeq and is a predicted model, not a curated record.
AUAGAGUGUAAAUGUUACAAUAUAAGGCUGAUUAGUAAUUAAUGCAGAAAAUUACUAAAUGGCACCUCUGAAACCAGUGGAAUUAGCAUCAGAAUGUAAUACUCAGCCCUGUUUUAUCCUCUUAUAUUACAGGGAGACCUCAUUUUCUGCUUGAUAAUUUAUGAUGACCCCUAAGCUCAGCUUCUCACCAGCUGCCCAGAGCACACUGAGCAUAUUCCUAACUGCAGGCAGCCUUCAGUACCCAGCAUCACCUGUUUGCCCCAGACACGGUUCCUGGCUGUCACAUUCAAAUCCUGAAGUCUCUUCAAAUCUAAAUUUAUUGUAUUUACUCCUUUGAGGUAUAAUAAAUAUGAAUGAUCAGCUGAA